AGGGCGUAACCCGGCAACCUUGCAAACAACACCUUGUCAGCACCUGUCAACCCUGCUGGUGCUGACACCUAUCAUGGGAAUGGGAGGAGUGAAAGACAAACAUGUUAGUUACCAGACUGAUGUGACUUGGCUUGUAGAUAGUAGUAUUAUGGCAAAUCUGUAAGGUGACUCUUGAUCUCCAUGUGUCGGAAUAUGAAGAAUAUGGGUGGAUGACUGUGCGGAUAAGGAAAAGGAAAGGCAAAAGCGAGGACAGCUGCAAAGAAAUUAAGAACAUCAUACAUAACCGGACUGUGCUGUUUUUCUGUUCAACCUGGACUGUCUGUGUUGUUCUGGAAAUCGUUAUUGAUGAAUGAAGAUGAAGAAUAAAAUAAGGCUGUGGGCUAAAACCUUUUUAAAAGGCCCAACGCAGUGGAAAUAAAAAGAGCCAUCACAUCAUCCAAUAUAUGUAUUCUGCCAUACAUCCCAACGUCCUCAAUUCAAAAUCACAGCUGGGGUCAAAGAUAAAUUGUGGGUAAUGUAUACCCGUGUCUUGUCACAUGUCUGAUUCAAUUAGAGAGAGUGUGUUACA
Hyla sarda is the source of this 568-nucleotide long non-coding RNA. RefSeq lists it as uncharacterized. Lineage: Eukaryota; Metazoa; Chordata; Amphibia; Anura; Hylidae. The record is from RefSeq and is a predicted model, not a curated record. The transcript is spliced from 3 exons.